GACGAACGCUGGCGGCGUGCCUAAUACAUGCAAGUAGAACGCUGAAGGAGGAGCUUGCUUCUCUGGAUGAGUUGCGAACGGGUGAGUAACGCGUAGGUAACCUGCCUGGUAGCGGGGGAUAACUAUUGGAAACGAUAGCUAAUACCGCAUAAGAGUAGAUGUUGCAUGACAUUUGCUUAAAAGGUGCAAUUGCAUCACUACCAGAUGGACCUGCGUUGUAUUAGCUAGUUGGUGAGGUAACGGCUCACCAAGGCAACGAUACAUAGCCGACCUGAGAGGGUGAUCGGCCACACUGGGACUGAGACACGGCCCAGACUCCUACGGGAGGCAGCAGUAGGGAAUCUUCGGCAAUGGACGGAAGUCUGACCGAGCAACGCCGCGUGAGUGAAGAAGGUUUUCGGAUCGUAAAGCUCUGUUGUAAGAGAAGAACGAGUGUGAGAGUGGAAAGUUCACACUGG
Molecule: ribosomal RNA, 458 nt
Filed under: Streptococcus mitis
Lineage: Bacteria; Bacillati; Bacillota; Bacilli; Lactobacillales; Streptococcaceae
Description: bacterial SSU rRNA
Rfam family: Bacterial small subunit ribosomal RNA
Source: RNAcentral